AACGAACGCUGGCGGCGUGCCUAACACAUGCAAGUCGAACGUGAUUAGAGAGCUUGCUCUCUAUGAAAGUGGCGCACGGGUGAGUAACGCGUAGAUAAUCUACCUGAUGAUUCGGGAUAACACUUCGAAAGGGGUGCUAAUACCGAAUAAGCCCACGGAGUCCUUGGACUCUGCGGGAAAAGGGGGGGACCUUCGGGCCUUCCGUCAUCAGAUGAGUCUGCGUACCAUUAGCUAGUUGGUAGGGUAAAGGCCUACCAAGGCGACGAUGGUUAGCUGGUCUGGGAGGAGGAUCAGCCACACUGGAACUGAGACACGGUCCAGACUCCUACGGGAGGCAGCAGUGGGGAAUUUUGCGCAAUGGGGGAAACCCUGACGCAGCAACGCCGCGUGAGUGAUGAAGGCCCUUGGGUCGUAAAGCUCUGACAGAGGGAAAGAAAUGCAGGGGGGCUAAUAUCUCCCUUGCUUGACGGUACCCUCAAAGGAAGCACCGGCUAACUCCGUGCCAGCAGCCGCCGUAA
Molecule: ribosomal RNA, 518 nt
Filed under: uncultured bacterium
Lineage: Bacteria
Description: partial 16S ribosomal RNA
Rfam family: Bacterial small subunit ribosomal RNA
Source: RNAcentral